AUGACUGUGGGCAAGAGUAGCAAGAUGCUGCAGCACAUUGACUAUAGAAUGAGAUGCAUCCUACAAGAUGGCCAGAUCUUCAUCUUUAAGGCUUUUGACAAGCAUAUGAAUUUGAUCCUCUGUGAUUGUGAUGAGUUCAGAAAGAUCAAGCCAAAGAAUGCAAAGCAACCAGAGCUUAAAGAAAAGCGGGUUUGGGGUCUGGUGUUGCUACCUGAGGAGAACUUGGUAUCCAUGACUGUGGAGGGGCCACCCCCCCAAAGAUACUGGCAUUGCUUGGGUACCACUUGCUGGAGCUGCAGGAGGCCCUGGGGUUGGUAGGGCAGCUGGUAGAGGAGUACCAGCUGGUGUGCCAAGUCCCUAGGGCCCUGCUGGAUUAACAGACCCUGUCCGAGGAGUUGGGGGCCCAUCCCAGCAGGUAGUGACUCCACAGGGAAGAGGCACUGUAGCAGCUGCUGCUGUUGCUGCGACUGCCAGCAUUGCUGGAGCCCCAACACAGUACCCACCAGGACGGGGGACUCCGCCCCACCUGGGAGAGCAACCCCACCUCCAGGCAUUAUGGCUCUCCCAUCUGGUAUGAGACCACCCAUGGGCCCACCAAUUGGGCUUCCCCCUGCUCAAGGGACGCCAAUAGGUAUGCCCCCUCUGGGAAUGAGACCCCCUCCACCAGGCAUUAGAGGUCCACGUCCUCCAGGAAUGCGUCCACCAAGACCCUAG
This is a non-coding RNA of Callithrix jacchus (white-tufted-ear marmoset), 714 nucleotides long. NCBI's taxonomy places the organism in Eukaryota, Metazoa, Chordata, Mammalia, Primates, Cebidae. The record is from RefSeq and is a predicted model, not a curated record.